UCUAAACAGAUGCCUGUGCCAGGGCAUCACACUGUGCAAUGUCACAGAUGGCAGGGCACAGCCCAGGACACUUCAACUCCUGCUGUGUCUGAGUCUCUUCCCAGGAACCGAGGUGCUGUUGCCACCCAGGGUCAGGCAGCCCUGAGCUCUGGACCCCGGAACAGAUUUCCAAGAAAGGGCCCCAGGAGGGCAGGAGCCAGCUGCCAAAGAUAGCAGGAGACCCAGCCUUUGAGAAAUGGGUUUGAAAAUGUGUGUUGCUCCAUCUUCGCCAGUUCCAAUAUUCUACAUUCUGUUUUGCUCCUUCUCUACUUUCCCUUUUUCCCUCUCCAAUCUAGACCCUGAGUCCUAGCCCUGAUCACAGCUCCACAUCUGCACAGACACAGACUUGCCUGUCUGCUCUCAUCAGUCCAGGAUGCGGAAUGGAAGAUUCCUCUCUCACUCCCGCUCCGUCCCUUAUCCUGACUUGUCCUGGUGAGUCUUAGCGCUCAGCCCCUCCCAAGGUUGUCUCUCUACGCUGAUAUUUGCAGAGUUAUUUCCCCCUUUUUGGUCUCUUUAUCUCCAACAGUUUGAAUCACUGGUUCAGAGACUGACAGCUCUGGAGUGUGGCUCUCUACUAGCUGUGGGUGCAGAGUGGAUCCUGGCUAACCUCUUGUGGUCUUACCCUUGGCCUUGCUGUCUGGCAGUCCAGGCUUCCCAAUGGCAACUCUUGGCCAUGUUGUUGAAUGCAGGGACUCCAAGGCCAUGCUGGGGUCUUCGGUGUGUCUGUCCAUGAUGACACUCUAGCCGUCCAUCCUGUGGGGGCGCUGCUGAUUGUGUGGGUGCAGCCGAGACUGUGGUGUAACAGGGUUUCCUCCCUCACUGCUAAGCUCCAGAGUCCCAGCAGAGGAAGGGCUCAGCCCUGCCCCACUCUGCCAUGGUCGGCCGCCUCUUCUGCUGGAUGAUCCUGGGUCUCCUGGGAGCAGGACACUCGGAACCUGGAGUCAGCCAGACACCAAGCCACGAUGUCACAGAGGUGGGACAGAGCACAGUUCUGAAAUGUGACCCUAUUUCUGGCCAUCUUUCCCUCUAUUGGUACCGACAGACCCCAGAAAAAGGAAUGGAGUUUCUGAUUUCUUUCUACAACAAGGCUCCUUCUGAGAAGGCAGACUUCUUCCAGGAACGGUUCUCAGCUGCCAUACAUGAGGACACACGUGCCACACUGACGAUCCAGCCGUGCAGCUGGGGGACUCUGCCACGUAUCUGUGUGCCAGCAGCUUGGCCACAGCACUACAGAGUCCCUUCCUGCCCGUGCACAAAUUCCACAGCUCCUCCUGGGUCUGCAGGCUCUCAGAGCCCCUCCCACCCCUGGGGUGGGAGAGGAUUGUGGUUGCGGCUGCAGAUGCUUCCCCUGGAAGGCAACCAUUAACUCCAACGGGCAAAAUGGUCAAUAGAAACAGAGACAGCUGGGGCCAUGGUCUUCAGGAAGUGUCCACAGACACAGCUGAAUGUGGCUGUUGACCCGAGGACGGGACAAUUGUCG
Molecule: non-coding RNA, 1519 nt
Organism: Oryctolagus cuniculus (rabbit)
Lineage: Eukaryota; Metazoa; Chordata; Mammalia; Lagomorpha; Leporidae
Source: the annotation of a RefSeq genome assembly